CAUUGUAUUUCCUUUUUCUGCAGAUUUUCAGUUUGCAGUGGGUUAAGAUGUGACAUUUUCUUUAAUCUCUUAGUUUAAAUUCUGUUAGUUUGUCACUUAUUUUAUUUUUUAGUGUAAAUUCCUCAAGGAUCCACUCCAACAUACGGCUUGAGGAGUUCUAAGUGACCAGUGACCCUGCUUGAGUAUUCCUAAGGGAUUUUCCAUGCUAAACCGUACCCAGAUAGUAUUUGCUACACUCUGUCAUAAUGUCUAGCACUAUGCAUACGUCCCAGAAUUAACUAGCUAUUUUCAUCCAGAAGUUUAUUUGCAGUCUCUCUCUGCCAUUCUUGGUAUAGGUCCCUUUGUGUCUAUAUGUCCUUUAUUGGUAUAGAGCCCUUGUGUCUAUCUAUCCUUUAUUCGCAGUCUCUCAGUUUUCAGUGUAAUUGCUCAAGCGAUAUAUGUGUUUCCACCUGUAGGUUUAUUACACAAUUACGCAUGGGGUCUGUUGUCUCAUUUCUUCAAAGAAGAGCAUUUUCUUAAAAGCCAGGAUGGAGUAGCACUGUAUUGUGUAAGGGGACACUCAAGAUCCUUUUUAGUGGAAAAGGAUUUUAGAGGGUUUUGUGUAUGUGGAUGUGUGAAUCGACUCCCAUGUAUUGCAAAGUAGGACUGUGACCUUUUUUCAGUCUUUAGUUGUUGGUGCAGCAUUUUCCUAACUUUUUUUUUUUUUGUCAAAACUCCAUGCAGAUUCAUCUUUUGUUCGAUUUUGGCACUAUCAGCGAGUAUAAGGAUGUAAUUUAAGUGUUUUUCUGACACAUGAAAGUUGAGCUUUUCGUUUCUAAUACAUGUGUGCAUCUUCUGCCCUGGAACGAAAAAAUCUUCAAGAAAUGAAGGUAGCUAUGAGGAUCUAUGUAAGGGAGUUCAGGGACCGUACCUUAGCAUCUCCAAUUCGAAGCAUGGUUUCUUGCAAUCCAGAGAGGAGGGACUGCUUGGAAGUAGUGGUUGAAAGAAGUGGUUGGAGCACAUGAACUGUUUUGCUUGCUGGAGAAGAAGGUCGAACAGGUACAAGAUGCACGCGAGCUUUUUACUGAUUAUGGGAUUUCCUCUGUAAUGGGUUUUUCAGAACUCAACAUUGACUCAACUCAGAAAUCAAUGGGACUCAAACACAUGCCGUGUAACGAAAAUGUAUCUGUUUUGCUAGACUGAAACAGACAGUUUUUGAUUAAUUGAGUUGUUUUCUCUGGUA
Lolium perenne is the source of this 1222-nucleotide non-coding RNA. Lineage: Eukaryota; Viridiplantae; Streptophyta; Magnoliopsida; Poales; Poaceae. The record is from RefSeq and is a predicted model, not a curated record.